ACAUUAUUUUAAUUUUAUUUAUAUAAUUUUGUAUUUUUUUUUAAUUAUGACUGGGUUAACCGGGUGAAUCAGUAACUCACCGGUUGAACCAGUGACCCGGUGACCCAGUCAUAUGACCGGGUUGAUUACCGGUUUGGUUCUAAUAACUAUGCUCAAUUGGCACCAACAACCAAUCACAUGAAGCCACGUAACACCUAAUUAACAUGUUUAAGCGGCGACGCGAGUGCUCUUCCACAUCUUUAAUUGAAAUCGGAAUCCCUCUUUUCCUUUCCUCUAUUUUUCUGUGAAAACAACGCCUUUUUUCCCCAAUUCCCUUCCCCCGCAACCUUCCCAGCCAUGGGAUUUAGAAACCUGGGACUACUUGGAUCAUUUGCCAAAGAGGGGUUGGAAAAAGCAUUCUCUCUUGGAAAGUUCUUCUGUUUUCUACAUGUCACCGACACCUAUUUGGUCACGUUUGUUGUGACAUCUGGUCCCAGCAUGCUUCCCACAAUAGAUUUGAUCCCAACAAUGUUUUUCGGUGAAAGGAUCUCAACUAGAUUUGGUAAAGUUACUUGUGGAGAUAUUGUGAUUAUUCGCUCCCCUCAAAACCCUAGGAAGCUUCUGGCUAAACGAUUGGUUGGAAUGGAGGAUGAUACUGUUACAUACAUUUCUAACCCUGAUGAGCCUGAUAAGCAGGAAACUAUUGUGUCAGAUGAGUUGGAUAGCCCCAACUUAACAUCACAAACUCAUGCACACUACACACUCACACACAACACUUUUAAGGGUUCCUAUCCACUACUUGGUCUCAACGAAGUUUCAGACCCGGGUGUGGUUGCUCACGAUGCAAAUGAGGCCUCGACCACCUUAUUAUAGCUUCUUGUGUUGAUUUGUUCCCCUCCCUUACAAAAUGGAUAUAUAGAUUGUGUUGUCUAUGUCUGUGUUAUUUAGGUUCCAAAGGGUCACGUUUGGAUACAGGGUGAUAAUGCAUAUAAAUCCAAUGAUUCAAGGAAUUUUGGUGCUGUUCCUUAUGGACUUAUUCAACACAGGCUAUUUUGGAGGGUAUGGCCAAUCAAAGGUUUUGGACCUUUCUGGAAACACUGAUGUGAGUGUACUUUAUGAUUCUCAAGUGAAGUUCAAUGAAAUUCAGCUUCACAAAUUCCCUUUUCGUUUUCCUCUUUCUCUCUCUCCUCUCUCGAUCUCAUACCGUACAAUUUGUUCAAGUUCCCUAGCUCUUGUAUCCUAAUUCCAUUGAUUCCAAUAUUAUGUUUCUAAGUUGCACAUUUGGAGCCUUAGGGGGCAAAAAAAUAAUACAAAAUAUACUAUCUUGUCAAAAGAUAACAAUGAGAUAAAUAGUUUAAAAUUUAA
Molecule: non-coding RNA, 1344 nt
Organism: Arachis ipaensis
Lineage: Eukaryota; Viridiplantae; Streptophyta; Magnoliopsida; Fabales; Fabaceae
Source: RefSeq, a predicted model, not a curated record